This 257-nucleotide ribosomal RNA is filed under the name uncultured prokaryote. RNAcentral describes it as "partial 16S ribosomal RNA". It matches the Rfam family "Bacterial small subunit ribosomal RNA", at positions 521 to 777 of the family's 1533-position model. The record is from RNAcentral.
UAAUACAGAGGUGGCAAGCGUUGUUCGGAAUUACUGGGCGUAAAGGGCGCGUAGGCGGUUUCGUAAGUCCCGUGUGAAAGCCCCCGGCUCAACUGGGGAAUUGCACGGGAAACUGCGAGGCUUGAGUUCGGGAGAGGGAAGCGGAAUUCCGGGUGUAGCGGUGAAAUGCGUAGAUAUCCGGAGGAACACCGGUGGCGAAGGCGGCUUCCUGGACCGACACUGACGCUGAGGCGCGAAAGCUAGGGGAGCAAACGGGA